GGCGCUAUAGUGUAGUGGUUAUCACCCGGGAUUCUGACUCGCCAUCGUCGGAGAACAGUAUUCCCGUGACCCAGGUUCGAUCCCUGGUAGCGCCU
Non-coding RNA from Polyporus arcularius HHB13444, 95 nucleotides. The record is from the annotation of a GenBank genome assembly. Lineage: Eukaryota; Fungi; Basidiomycota; Agaricomycetes; Polyporales; Polyporaceae.